GGCGCUGUAGCUUAGCUGGUCAAAGCGCCUGCCUUGUAAACAGGAGAUCCUGGGCUCAAAUCCCAGCAAUGCCU
This is a non-coding RNA of Danio rerio (zebrafish), 74 nucleotides long. Lineage: Eukaryota; Metazoa; Chordata; Actinopteri; Cypriniformes; Danionidae. The record is from Rfam.